This 75-nucleotide transfer RNA is filed under the name Legionella quateirensis. RNAcentral's name for it is "tRNA-Thr(cgt)". It matches the Rfam family "tRNA". Rfam says of the family: Transfer RNA (tRNA) molecules are approximately 80 nucleotides in length. The record is from RNAcentral. Lineage: Bacteria; Pseudomonadati; Pseudomonadota; Gammaproteobacteria; Legionellales; Legionellaceae.
UGCCGCUGUAGCUCAGUUGGUAGAGCAGUUGAUUCGUAAUCAAAAGGUCUGCGGUUCGAUUCCGCGCAGCGGCAU